UACGUAGGGUGCGAGCGUUGUCCGGAAUUAUUGGGCGUAAAGAGCUCGUAGGUGGCUUGUCGCGUCUGCCGUGAAAGCCCGUGGCUUAACUACGGGUCUGCGGUGGAUACGGGCAGGCUAGAGGCUGGUAGGGGCAAGCGGAAUUCCUGGUGUAGCGGUGAAAUGCGCAGAUAUCAGGAGGAACACCGGUGGCGAAGGCGGCUUGCUGGGCCAGUUCUGACGCUGAGGUGCGAAAGCGUGGGGAGCAAACAGG
Molecule: ribosomal RNA, 253 nt
Filed under: uncultured bacterium
Lineage: Bacteria
Description: partial 16S ribosomal RNA
Rfam family: Bacterial small subunit ribosomal RNA
Source: RNAcentral